UACGGAGGGUGCAAGCGUUAAUCGGAAUUACUGGGCGUAAAGCGCGCGUAGGCGGCUUGAUAAGUCGGAUGUGAAAGCCCUGGGCUCAACCUAGGAACUGCAUUCGAUACUGUCAAGCUAGAGUGUGGGAGGGGGUGGUGGAAUUCCCGGUGUAGCGGUGAAAUGCGUAGAUAUCGGGAGGAACAUCAGUGGCGAAGGCGACCGCCUGGCCCAACACUGACGCUGAGGUGCGAAAGCGUGGGUAGCAAACAGG
This 253-nucleotide ribosomal RNA is filed under the name uncultured bacterium. RNAcentral describes it as "partial 16S ribosomal RNA". It matches the Rfam family "Bacterial small subunit ribosomal RNA", at positions 524 to 776 of the family's 1533-position model. The record is from RNAcentral.